This 773-nucleotide ribosomal RNA is filed under the name uncultured Neocallimastigales. Its description in RNAcentral is "partial large subunit ribosomal RNA". It matches the Rfam family "Eukaryotic large subunit ribosomal RNA", at positions 18 to 643 of the family's 3401-position model. The record is from RNAcentral. Lineage: Eukaryota; Fungi; Neocallimastigomycota; Neocallimastigomycetes; Neocallimastigales.
UCAGACGAUGCGUCAUGCAUAUCAAUAAGCGAGGAAAAGAAACUAACAAGGAUUCCCCUAGUAACGGCGAGUGAAGCGGGAAGAGCUCAAAUUUGAAAUCUUAAAGGGUUUCCCUUUACGAAUUGUAGUUUAAAGAAGUGUUUUCUGUUGAGGUUUUGGUAAAAGUUCUUUGGAAUAGGACAUCAUAGAGGGUGAGAAUCCCGUAUUUGACCUUUACUUUCAACUUUGUGAUACACUUUCAAAGAGUCGGAUUGUUUGGGAAUGCAGUCCAAAAUGGGUGGUAAAUUUCAUCUAAAGCUAAAUAUUGGCGAGAGACCGAUAGCGAACAAGUACCGUGAGGGAAAGAUGAAAAGAACUUUGAAAAGAGAGUUAAACAGUACGUGAAAUUGUCAAAAGGGAAGCGUUUGACACCAGUGUUGCUUUUCUGAAAAUCAAUUAAAGAACUGUUUAUGCUAAGUUGUUUAGACUUUAUCAGCUAACUGUUUAGUUUUGAGCUUUUCUUUAAUGCACUUUUCAGUUAACAAGUCAACAUCAAUUUCUUUUGCUGUAAAAAAGCUUGAGGAAGGUGGCUUGAGAUUCGUCUUAAGUGUUUAUAGCCUCUUGCCUAUGCAGUCGGAGAGAUUGAGGUCUGCAGCGUAGAUCCUUCGGGGCUAAAUGCAUUUGUGCUAAGUUAUAGCAUUUUAUAGACAACUUGUUGACUAUGAUUUGUCUUGUAGCUUACUCGCUUAUGUUAUUUUACCUACGCUUAGGAUGUUGACACACGCGCGUGCUCG